Molecule: long non-coding RNA, 133 nt
Organism: Perognathus longimembris pacificus (Pacific pocket mouse)
Lineage: Eukaryota; Metazoa; Chordata; Mammalia; Rodentia; Heteromyidae
Exons: 3
Source: RefSeq, a predicted model, not a curated record
UGUGGUUCAAGUGGUGGAGGUGUGAUCCAAGUGGUAGAGUGCCUGCCUUGAGCAUAAAACAAAGCUAUAGCACAAGGCCCUAAAUCCAAGCCUCAAUACCACAUCCUCCCCCCAAAAUUAGCUCUAUGUUAAA